Molecule: ribosomal RNA, 256 nt
Filed under: uncultured bacterium
Lineage: Bacteria
Description: partial 16S ribosomal RNA
Rfam family: Bacterial small subunit ribosomal RNA
Source: RNAcentral
UACGAAGGGGGCUAGCGUUGUUCGGAAUCACUGGGCGUAAAGCGCACGCAGGCGGAUCGUUAAGUCGGGGGUGAAAUCCCGAGGCUCAACCUCGGAACUGCCUUCGAUACUGGCGAUCUUUGAGUCCGGGAGAGGUGAGUGGAACUCCGAGUGUAGAGGUGAAAUUCGUAGAUAUUCGGAAGAACACCAGUGGCGAAGGCGGCUCACUGGACCGGCAUUGACGCUGAGGUGCGAAAAGCGUGGGGGAGCAAACAGG